Molecule: ribosomal RNA, 406 nt
Filed under: uncultured bacterium
Lineage: Bacteria
Description: partial 16S ribosomal RNA
Rfam family: Bacterial small subunit ribosomal RNA
Source: RNAcentral
AUUGAACGCUGGCGGCAGGCCUAACACAUGCAAGUCGAACGAGUGGCGGACGGGUGAGUAAUGUCUGGGAAACUGCCCGAUGGAGGGGGAUAACUACUGGAAACGGUAGCUAAUACCGCAUACCAUCGGAUGUGCCCAGAUGGGAUUAGCUUGUAGGUUAGGUAACGGCUCACCUAGGCGACGAUCCCUAGCUGGUCUGCGAGGAUGAGCAGCCAAACUGGAACUGAGACACGGUGCAGACUCCUACGGGAGGCAGGAGUGGGGAAUAUUGCACAAUGGGUGCAAGUCUGAUGCAGCCAUGCCGCGGGUAUGAAGAAGGCGUUCGGGUUUGAAAGUACUUUCAGCGGGGAGGCGUUACCCGCAGAAGAAGCCCCGGCUAACUCCGUGCCAGCAGCCGCUGUAAUUC